This 971-nucleotide ribosomal RNA is filed under the name Neocamarosporium lamiacearum. RNAcentral describes it as "SSU rRNA". It matches the Rfam family "Eukaryotic small subunit ribosomal RNA", at positions 121 to 1102 of the family's 1831-position model. Lineage: Eukaryota; Fungi; Ascomycota; Dothideomycetes; Neocamarosporiaceae. The record is from RNAcentral.
UUGAUAGUACCUUACUACUUGGAUAACCGUGGUAAUUCUAGAGCUAAUACAUGCUGAAAACCCCGACUUCGGAAGGGGUGUAUUUAUUAGAUAAAAAACCAACGCCCUUCGGGGCUUCUUGGUGAUUCAUAAUAACUUUACGGAUCGCAUGGCCUUGCGCCGGCGACGGUUCAUUCAAAUUUCUGCCCUAUCAACUUUCGAUGGUAAGGUAUUGGCUUACCAUGGUUUCAACGGGUAACGGGGAAUUAGGGUUCGAUUCCGGAGAGGGAGCCUGAGAAACGGCUACCACAUCCAAGGAAGGCAGCAGGCGCGCAAAUUACCCAAUCCCGACACGGGGAGGUAGUGACAAUAAAUACUGAUACAGGGCUCUUUUGGGUCUUGUAAUUGGAAUGAGUACAAUUUAAACCUCUUAACGAGGAACAAUUGGAGGGCAAGUCUGGUGCCAGCAGCCGCGGUAAUUCCAGCUCCAAUAGCGUAUAUUAAAGUUGUUGCAGUUAAAAAGCUCGUAGUUGAAACUUGGGUCUGGCUGGCAGGUCCGCCUCACCGCGUGUACUUGUCCGGCCGGGCCUUCCUUCUGGAGAACCUCAUGCCCUUCACUGGGCGUGUUGGGGACCAGGACUUUUACUUUGAAAAAAUUAGAGUGUUCAAAGCAGGCCUUUGCUCGAAUACGUUAGCAUGGAAUAAUAGAAUAGGACGUGCGUUCCUAUUUUGUUGGUUUCUAGGAACGCCGUAAUGAUUAAUAGGGACAGUCGGGGGCAUCAGUAUUCAAUUGUCAGAGGUGAAAUUCUUGGAUUUAUUGAAGACUAACUACUGCGAAAGCAUUUGCCAAGGAUGUUUUCAUUAAUCAGUGAACGAAAGUUAGGGGAUCGAAGACGAUCAGAUACCGUCGUAGUCUUAACCGUAAACUAUGCCGACUAGGGAUCGGGCGAUGUUCUUUUUCUGACUCGCUCGGCACCUUACGAGAAAUCAAA